This 1506-nucleotide long non-coding RNA is filed under the name Monodelphis domestica (gray short-tailed opossum). Its description in RNAcentral is "lncRNA (ENSMODG00000044010.1)". The record is from RNAcentral. Lineage: Eukaryota; Metazoa; Chordata; Mammalia; Didelphimorphia; Didelphidae.
AUGGUUUUUGAGCAAGAAUGUAUCAUGAUAGUCCAUGGAGGUGACCCCCCCCCUCUUUUUCUCUCUCUUCUUCCUUCCUUCCUUCCCUCCUUCCUUCCCUCCUUCCUUCCUUCCCUCCUUCCUUCCUUUCCUCCUUCCUUCCCUCCUUCCUUCCUUCCUUCCUUCCUUCCUUCCUUCUUCCCUCCCCCUCUCUCUCCUUUCUUUCUUUCUUUCUUUCUUCCUUCCUUCCUUCCUUCCUUCCUUCCUUCCUUCCUUCUUUCCUCCCUCCCUUCCUCCCUUCCUCCCUUCCCAGUGACUAUGUUGAGAGUAUAAAAUGAGACAAUACUUGUACAUCACUUAUUCUCAUGUCUGGAGCACAGUGAGUACCAGAGAGAUGAUGAUGAUGAUGAUGAUGAUGAUGAUGAUGAUGAUGAUAUCUCCUAACUUGCCUUCAAUUCUCUUUCCCUGAUACCAUGUUGCCUGAGGCCACACAGGUAGUUAGUAGGACAGUGGAAAGAGGUUCCCCCACAUUGAGUAGGAAAGUCUCUGGUCUUGAACUGCUUGGGGGGUGGGGGAGGGAAAGGUAUAGAAUUGUGAGUAUUGAUUCAGAGCCAGAAGGAAAAGCAGAGACUGUCAAAUCCAAUCCUCUUAUUUUAUAGAUGAUGAAACUCAGAUUCAGAGGUUGCAAUGAAGGGUCACACAGCUAGUAAGUAGCUGAGGAAGGAUUGAGGGGCUGGGGUCUUCCUGAAUUCAAGCCCAGUCCUCUCUUCUUAGUCUCCUGGAUGUUAUUAGAGGCUCUCCUGAUUAGAAGUACUAAGCUCUAAUUAGGCCUCCAUUAACUUAGCGUCUGAAGGCCACAUCUAGGAUAGCUUUCUCCCUCCUAGAGAUUAUUGAAGGAUUGUGGUUUAGUUGUUUUCAGUCACGUCUGAUACUUCAUCAUCUCAUUUGGGGUUUUCUUGGCAAAUAUUGGAGUGGUUUGCCAUUUCCUUCUCCAGCUCAUUUUUACUGAUGAGAAACUGAGGCAAACUGAGUGAUUUGCGUAGGGUCCCGUAUCUUGUAAGUGUCUAAGGUCAAAUUUGAACUCAGAUCUUCAUAACUCCAGAACCAGUGCUCUAUCUGCUGUGAUACCUAGCUGUCCAUUUGUGUAGUACUUAAGAUCGUAGACUGAAGACCAGAGAGCCUUCGAAGGACAACCUUCUCAUUGUACAGAUGAGGAAGCUGGGGCCCAGAUGGGAGAAGGAAUAUCCACAAGGCCUUUAUUUCCUAAUCCAUCACUAUUUCCAGUGUAAUUGCUGCUGAGGAUUAUGGGAAUAUCACUUCCACUAGAGGGACCAGUGCCUGGUGCCCCAUCAGUGAGAAGUCUUCCUUAAAGGAAUAUUCCUUGGGGGUCUGGGGAAUCAUCCCCCUCCCCCCCCCCAUUUUGUACUAGCCAUAGCUUGCAUUCACAUUUCCCAACCAGCUAUUUCGUGGAAGGUCUUUUCCCCACUGGGUGCAUUUAAAAAUAAAUUUGGUUCCCCCCCAAUUACA